AUUGAACGCUGGCGGCAUGCCUUACACAUGCAAGUCGAACGGCAGCACGGGAGCAAUCCUGGUGGCGAGUGGCGAACGGGUGAGUAAUAUAUCGGAACGUGCCCAGUAGUGGGGGAUAGCCCGGCGAAAGCCGGAUUAAUACCGCAUACGACCUACGGGUGAAAGCGGGGGAUCGCAAGACCUCGCGCUAUUGGAGCGGCCGAUGUCAGAUUAGCUAGUUGGUGGGGUAAAAGCCUACCAAGGCGACGAUCUGUAGCUGGUCUGAGAGGACGACCAGCCACACUGGGACUGAGACACGGCCCAGACUCCUACGGGAGGCAGCAGUGGGAAUUUUGGACAAUGGGGGCAACCCUGAUCCAGCCAUGCCGCGUGCGGGAAGAAGGCCUCGGUUGUAAACCGCUUUGUCAGGGAAGAAACGGUACGUGCGCUAAUACCGCGGA
RNAcentral lists this ribosomal RNA (440 nucleotides) under uncultured bacterium. Its description in RNAcentral is "bacterial SSU rRNA". It matches the Rfam family "Bacterial small subunit ribosomal RNA", at positions 29 to 472 of the family's 1533-position model. The record is from RNAcentral.